RNAcentral lists this ribosomal RNA (348 nucleotides) under uncultured bacterium. RNAcentral's name for it is "partial 16S ribosomal RNA". It matches the Rfam family "Bacterial small subunit ribosomal RNA", at positions 338 to 703 of the family's 1533-position model. The record is from RNAcentral.
CCUACGGGAGGCAGCAGUGGGGAAUAUUGCACAAUGGGGGAAACCCUGAUGCAGCGACGCCGCGUGAAGGAAGAAGGAGUUCGGUAUGGAAACUUCUAGCAGCAGGGAAGAAAAGGACGGUACCUGACUAAGAAGCCCCGGCUAACUACGUGCCAGCAGCCGCGGUAAUACGUAGGGGGCAAGCGUGAUCCGGAUUUACUGGGUGUAAAGGGAGCGUAGGCGGCGAUGCAAGUCAGAAGGGAAAGCCCGGGGCUCAACUCCGGGACUGCUUGUGAAACUGUGUUGCUAGAUUGCAGGCGCGGUCAGUGGAAUUCCUGGUGUAGCGGUGCACUGCGUAGAUCUUCGGAG